Molecule: transfer RNA, 87 nt
Filed under: Gardenia brighamii
Lineage: Eukaryota; Viridiplantae; Streptophyta; Magnoliopsida; Gentianales; Rubiaceae
Description: tRNA-Leu
Rfam family: tRNA
About the family: Transfer RNA (tRNA) molecules are approximately 80 nucleotides in length.
Source: RNAcentral
GGGGAUAUGGCGAAAUCGGUAGACGCUACGGACUNNAAAAAUCCGUCGACUUUAAAAAUCGUGAGGGUUCAAGUCCCUCUAUCCCCA